RNAcentral lists this ribosomal RNA (518 nucleotides) under uncultured bacterium. RNAcentral describes it as "bacterial SSU rRNA". It matches the Rfam family "Bacterial small subunit ribosomal RNA", at positions 8 to 518 of the family's 1533-position model. The record is from RNAcentral.
AGAGUUUGAUUAUGGCUCAGGAUGAACGCUAGCGGCAGGCUUAACACAUGCAAGUCGAGGGGCAGCGGGAUGUAGCAAUACAUUGCCGGCGACCGGCGGAUGGGUGCGUAACGCGUAUGCAACCUACCUUAUACAGGGGAAUAACCUUUCGAAAGGGAGACUAACACCCCAUAGUAUUGAUUUAAGGCAUCUUAGAUUAAUUAAAUAUUUAUAGGUAUAAGAUGGGCAUGCGUAUGAUUAGCUAGUUGGUAAGGUAACGGCUUACCAAGGCGACGAUCAUUAGGGGUUCUGAGAGGAAGGUCCCCCACACUGGUACUGAGACACGGACCAGACUCCUACGGGAGGCAGCAGUGAGGAAUAUUGGUCAAUGGGCGCAAGCCUGAACCAGCCAUGCCGCGUGCAAGGAAGACGGCCUUAUGGGUUGUAAACUGCUUUUACAUAAGACUAACCGUAUAUUUGCGAAUAUACCUGAAUGUAUUAUGAGAAUAAGGAUCGGCUAACUCCGUGCCAGCCGCGGC